UCCUUUGAAGUUAUGUCCUUGAUGAUGCUGUUGGUUAGGAAAUUGAACCUCAGAUUCUGUAGUAUUUCAUAUCCAAAACACGAGAAAAGAAACACCAAAACUUAUAUUGUUAGUGUCCUUACAAUAUGAAGCACACAAGCGUUGAUAUUUAUGUAUGUAUGAGCUUACGAUAGGAAGCUGGUGGCAAUAUUUGGUUCUGGAACAUUUUUGACCCCAUACAGAUUGUCCUUGGCCAUCAAAAACCCCAUAGCCGGACAACGUGAACUGGUCAAGGUGUUGGAAAGCAACCCAACCAGCUUGAGGUUUGAACCUGCUGGUAUCCACUGGGGCCCUCACAGUGCCUUUGACAAUGAGAUUGAUAGGAGCCUUGCAAGGGCCUUCAAUGGUUACUUGGCCUAAGGCGUAUAUCCCAGCUGGGAUCACAACUCUACUUGCAAUAGGCGAGGCACAGGCGGCUUCCCAAGCUGUAAGUAAGGCCUAGGAAAACAUUCAACAAACAAAUAAGUUUUUCAUAGAUUCAUGAUAGAUUAAUCGUAUUACCUCAUUAUAAUCUCAUCGUCUUUCACCUGGCUAAUAUCGGUCUUUCCAUCAGCCUGGGCACCAUAUUUGGUAACAUCAAAAUAUGUAUCACCAGACACUUCUGCGACAGAUGUUAGCAAUAACAGAAGAGAGAUUGCUGCGAUAUUCAACUUCAUGCCUAUGUUUUCCGUUUCCCUCUUCUUUGUCUGGUAAAAUCUGUAUGCAACAAUGGUGAAUCCCCAUUCUUUUGAAACCGAUUUAUACUGUAACAAGAGAAGCUCAACACCACCAGAACAUACAUCCAAUUUUAGUUAACCAAGUUUUAUGGUGUUCAUUGGGUCCUGAUGAUUGGAGUCAACUUCCUUCCUAUUUAGCCUCACAUGGCAAACUCUCAUUCCUCAAAACCCUUUUUUCGGUUUUAUUUCAGCCAAUCACAACCUGUCAUUGCAGAGAAGAGUAGACAUCAACAUUUUUCCUAAUUUAUAUAGGAAAUCUUGUCAAUAUCUCACAAGCCUUUGAGAAACAGGGCCCAGGGUCCAUUAGAUUUGUGAUGGGUACUCUGUAAUGCAUCACCAUUUAAAAAAGAGCAGAUUUAUCUCCAAAAUCCUUUUUGAUUUUCCAUCAGACAAAGGAAACCUGGAUUGACAAUAUACUUUGAUCAUUAGGAAAUUGUUUUAAUACUGUGCCCUCUAACUCUAGGGUUCUUAAUUAAUUAUAUCCUGAAAGAUUACCAAAUCUAGAAUUCUUGGCUAUGAGCAUCAUUUUUUUUUUUUUUCUGAUAUCAAGUUAAAGCCAAUGUGUUGUCUCAAUCUUGUGAAAAUGGCCUCUUAUGGGAUGCCCAAAAAUGAGAAAAUAAACUGGAGUGAAGCAUCUUUGCACAUAGGGCUAAUUCACAUUGUUAUAGUUCUAUUCUGUUCUUUAUCAAAUAGUAAGCCAUACAAAAAAAUAUAAUAAUGUAAAACUAUAUUUCACCAAUCAACUCAUCAUGCAUGCAAGCAAGCAUGAGUCCAAGCUGUGUUUGGUUCACAUAUUUCAGGGCCUUCUUUUCCCUUUUAUGUCAAGUUGAUGUCACUGAUAUCUACAGUCUGGCAUGGCACCCCUCUGCUACAAACGACUGCAACCUGCGUUCCAGACAUGCUACAAAUGCCUUGGAAGCUCACAUCGCUGAUCUUAACUUGCGAGGGAACCUAAAACCAAGAAAUCAUCAGAUCAAUAAGAUGUUUUUUUUUUUUCCCUUUCUUGUUACUACAUUGAGCGACUAGUACCUUUGCUUGGCAUUGAUCAUAUGGGCAGUAUUCUUGAUUGAUAAGAAUAGGAUUGCCGACGUUGUUCAUGAUAAUAUCCUCAAAAUGCAAGUCAGUGGCAACACUAGCAGGAGAAUCCGGCCAUGUUUUAACCCUAAUGCCAUUCAUUGUGUUGAUGAGGGUGCAGUUCUUCACAGUAACUCCAACAACAGGUUCUUCAUUGUGGUACUUCCCAAGGCUCCCAACACUGAUGCCAUGUCCAGGUCCACAGGUUACUUUUUCCACGUUGAUGUGUUGGCUGCCAUCUCCAAUAGAGAGAGAGUCAUCUCCAGUUUUGAUGAUUGCAUCCGAAAUAUUAACCCCAGUUGAGCGCCCCAUGUGGAUUCCAUCAGUGUUUAGGCUAUCCCCUGUUGCAUUGAUGGUGACAUACUGAAGAGUCAUGUUCCAGCAGUUCAAAAUGUCCAUGUGAAACAGCUUGCUGUUCAGGGAAGUUGUGUUGAAUAAUCGAAUUGGUGACCUUAGUGAAACAUAAGUUCUGUUCACAAAAUCGAAGACAACGGAAAAUUCGAUAAGAAAGCAGACACAAGACCAAAACAACAAACAUGAAUACAGAACUACAUUAGCUUGGGACAUGGAGAACAUACUACAAGUAGAAGGUUGCAAGUUCCAGUUCUGGCACAAUUGUUUUGACCCCAGGCAGUGUGUCCUUGGCCAUCGAAUGUUCCUCCUCCUGAGAUUAUCAAGCUAUCAAUGUCUUGGAAAAUGACCCAACCAUCCUGCAAUUCGAACCUGUUGAGGUCUGUUGGAGCCUUCAAGGUUCCUUGAACCCGAAACCCCAUGGGAGCCCUGCAUGGUCCUUGAAACUGCACUGGACCGACCACGUAGGUUCCUCCUGAUACCACAACUGUGCUUGGAUCUGUGCAUGUGCAUGCCACUUUCCAGGCACUCAUGAAAGCCUGUCUAAGAACAUGGAAAAUUUACAGAACAUAACAAAGAGUUAGAAGUUGAAAUUGCACCUGAAAAAAUAACAAGGUUCGUUCAUUUCACCUGGCAAUCCUCUGACUUCCCAUCUGCCUUUGCUCCAUAUUUUUUUCACGUUGAAAUCAGAAUGACCAAUGCUUGCCAGAACAAUAAGAAAAUAGCUGCUGAGACCAUUUUCGGACCCAUCUAUCUUUUAGCUUGUGUGUUUGAAUCAAGUUACAUCUUUUCAGGCAUUUAUAGUGCAAUUGAAGAUUCACAACUCCACAAAAUCUUCAGCCUAAUUUUAUGUAGUUUCAUCUUUGAUUUCUCUACAAUUUGAGAAAUCAUGAUGGACAAGGACACUGUGUUCGCAAUGGUCGUGAACAAGCUGUACUAAUUCUGGAUUUUAUGAGUCCGCAUUUGAUGUUGGAAGCCUCUAUACCUAAAAACGCUGGUUCAAGCCAGCCAACUAUUAUCCUACGGGUUUAAUAGGUGAAGGCCAUGUGAUGAGCCUUGUGGUCGCUUUAAAUAUAUAAAGGUGGAAAAAGAUCUUUUAUGGAGUAAUGGGCAGUAUCUGUGGUUUAUGGGCAUUGAGCCUAUCCAAUAGAACACCAACUUUUUUCACCUACCUAAUAGAAUUUACUCUUUCUGAUGUUUCGGUAUCAAGAAACUGUGCAGCACUUACAACUUGUGGCUUUAAAGGGCAGCCCUAUAGAUUCAAACCCUUGACACCCCUUCCAAUGACUGCCCCACCCUGCCACCAUCCCCAAACACUGCCUCCACCACCUCCAACUGCCACGCCACAACCCCCACCUUCCCUCCUCCCCAGAUUGACUGCCUCAUGUUGGAUCAGUUCCAAUAAGUUUUUGUGGAAGAAGCUUCUAUCUAUGAGAUACAAGGCAACUAAUUCAAGGAAGCUAAUUUUGAGGGAAGUGCAGGUAUGUGAUUAAUGCAGGCAAUCAGGUGGUUCAAGCUGCUGUCAUUCAAUUAUACGUUUCAUUUCUCCUUACUAGAUUUUUCAAUCCUACAAGCAUGUAUAAUACCGAAAUAGGUACCGGAAAUAGACAUAAGAAACUGACUAUAGGAAAACAUAAAGGUGGGAACCGCAUUACACCAUAACAGAAGCAACAAGAAUGGUAUCAACUUUAUACUUUCAGCCAAAAAAAAGAAAGAAAGAAAGAAAAAUUCAACAAAAUAUCUUGACAAAAAGUACUGGAAGCUAAAGAGAAGAUGAUUUCAUCUUGAUAACAACUAAUCAAGAAUCCAAGAAUAAAUAUAAGAAAACAUUUCAGGUAUACAAAUCCUCGAAUAUAAGUACCAUGGGGAGUUUUGCUGGCACGCAGAUACCCAUCCAAUUCGAUGACAAGCUUUUUGCAUUUUUAAAAUGAUGUUCUGUUUUCUGUAGCAGACUUGGUUCUGCUGAUAAAAUCUUCAACUAUCAUGGUUCCAAGCUCCCCGCCAAACCUAGAUCUAACUGUAACUGUUUGUGUUUCAACUUCUUUGGGGCCCACAACUGCCAUUAAUGGGAUUCUCUGCUUCUCAGAAUUUCUAAUGAGCUUAGGAAGGCGCUCACCAUGACAAACUUCAGCCCGAAUACCAUUAGCUUUCAGUUUGUUGGUCACCUCAUUGCAGUACUCAAGCUGUGUAAACACAUGGAAUUUGUUACUCAAAGCAAAGAUUAUAGCCACAAGUUCUCAGGAAAAUGUCUGAAACUAAAUUUGUAAAAAAACAAUAGAAGCUGAGAAUACCUGUGUGUCCGUCACUGGUAAAACCCGAGCUUGGAUUGGAGAAAGCCAUAGUGGAAAAUCCCCAGCAUAAUGCUCUAUGAGAACUCCAAAGAAUCGCUCCAAGGAUCCAAGAACAGCUCUAUGGAUCAUGAUGGGUCGUUGCUUUUCUGAGUUUGAGUCAACAUAUGUAAUGUCAAAUCGCUGUGGCAAAUUGAAAUCAACCUGCAUAAAUUUGCAAAAAGAAAUCAUUUGUCAAUUAUACAUUUGUAUAUGAUUCAUUCAAUUUGAAUCAAUUCCAUAAACUUCCUUUGUAAAUGACAAAUCCAAUCUGUCUUGAUCUGAACACUUCAUUAGAACUUUGGGAUUGCACAAGAGAGACUGGGAUGUAUAAAUGACAGUUCUUUCCCAGUCUAAUUCAAUUGUUAACCCCAGAUCAACGUUUGGGCAACUUUGAAUUAAUAACUUGCCUGUAUAGUUGAGCACUGCCACUUCCUUCCAAGAGCAUCCUCAAUCUUGAGAUCAAUCUUAGGACCAUAAAAGGCACCACCACCUUCAUCAAUUCGAUAGCUCCACCCCUUAUCAUCCAAAGCAUCUCUAAGUGCUGAUGUUGCUUUUUCCCAUAUAUCAUCAGCUCCCACAGCUUUCUCUGGCCUGGUUGAGAGGUUCACCUCAUACUUGCUAAAACCAAAUUGUAGUAAUAUUUCUUCAGUGAGAUCAAGGACUCCCCGGAUUUCAUCCUUGAUUUGAUCUUCUAAGCAAAAUAUAUGUGCAUCAUCCUGCAAGAAAUGUAAAAUAAAAAUAGUCAUCCCAAGGUUUUACCCAAAAGACCAUGCGGUAUUGUGACUUUGGCAGACAACAAAAGAAAAAAACAAAGAUGCAUCUCCCCUGCUGUAUAGGACAUAUAACACACAUCAAGGGGUUACAAGCCACCUCUUCACAGGCUCCAUGAGUGAUAUUUUCUACAUUGAACACUCACUGCUUCCAAACCAAUUGGGCCAGAUAAAUUUCUUAUUCAUUAGAAGGACUAGUUGAAUGAUGGGUCAAAUCCCAAAAACAUGUCCACAUUGACGGACUAAGUGAUGGAUAUAAUGCCCUGUACAAUCUACUCAAUAGUAUGCUGAAUUCCUAAUAUUAAAUCAUGAUAAAACCCAAAGGCAGGGCCACAACCUGAACGUCUAUGACCCAAGGUGUCUAUAGAACAUGCCAGAAUACAACACCCAAUGCCAAAAACAUCCAAAUGUAUAGUCUGAGUUUCCAAACAUGCAUCUGAGAUUAGAUAAUGUACCUGUGUGAAACCUCUUACACGAAAAAGGCCAUGCAAGCUUCCGGAUAGCUCAUAUCUGUACACUGUUCCCAGCUCUGCAACCCUGAUUGGGAAAUCUCGAUAGGAGUGUAGCUUCCUCUUGUAAAUCAAAAUAUGGUAUGGACAGUUCAUUGGUCGGAGUUGAUAGAGUUCAUCCUCAAUUGUUAUCUGACUGUACAUAUUCUCUCUGUAGAAAUCCAAAUGGCCACUGGUCUUCCAUAAAUCAGCCCUAGCAACAUGUGGAGUAUACAGCAGAUCAUAGCCAUGUUCUAUAUGUAUUUUUUUCCAUGAAUCUUCUAUAAUACGCCUAACAAUGGCACCCUUUGGAUGCCAGAACACUAGACCUCCACCAGCUUCAUCCUGCAGAAGUUUCAUCAAGAAGCCUAAGAUAUUAAAGGAAUGAAUUCAUACUAGUGGAUAAGGAGCAAUCCAACAAUAAAAUUGAAAAGAAGAAGAAAACUGAUUUAUCAAUCCUCACUCCAAACCAUUCUGGUACAAGUCCAAUAGGGAGCUACCUGUAUAGAGAACAGAUCAAGAUCUUGUCCAAGGCGUCUGUGAUCCCGGCGUUUUGCCUCCUCUUUGAAGUGAAGAUAUGCUUUCAAUUGUUCCUCAUUCUCCCAUGCUGUGCCAUAGAUUCUCUGCAGCAUCUGUUUCUUCUCAUCCCCUCUCCAGUAAGCACCAGCAACAGAUUCAAGUUCAACAGCUUUCCUGUUAAUAUUUCCAGUAUAUUCAACAUGAGGCCCAGCACAAAGGUCCCACCAUUCACCACCUGCAAAGUGAUAGAAUAAAAUAUCAAGUGAAGAAUAAAAAAUAAUAAAUAGGUAUAUUUUGAUCAACUUAGGUAUGCCAAAGGAACCUUAAGAAGAAAUUAAACAAGUAAUACAGAUAAAGACGAAAACAAUGUGAAAUAACAAUGCAGAGAUGAAAGCAUUUAUUAUAUAUUUACUUUUCCAAAAAUUUAAAAAAAAUUAACAGAAAAGGAAAAAAAAAAGAAAAAGAAAAAGAAACAACGCAAAAAUUCAGAUUACACAACCUAGCAUAAACAAGGAACAACUCUCUGAUUCCUCCUUUAAGUACAUAUCUUCAUGGGUUUAAGUGUUAUGAGUGUUUGUGUGUGUGUGUAUAGCUGUAAAUAAGCAAUUAGAUGUGAAUCCACCACAUAGCCAUUGAAUAGAGAAAUUGAACAGUGCCUUCAAGGUUAAUGUCCAUACAGCAAAAGAUGUUAAUCCCCUUACCAAUAUGAUAGAUGGUGAUGGGAUCUUCCUGGAUGCUAUCCAAAAUUUCCAUUUUAUAUGGUUCAUUGACAGCCAUUAUUCUUCUCUGAGCUUCAUCUCUGGAAACUUCUUCUCUAAUCAGUGGUAAAUUUCGACCAAUGAUGCGAUCCUACAGAUGACGUAACAAAUAAAUUCCAGACCCUGAAACCACCGGCUAAUGAAUAUUUUUCCAAGUUCACGACCUUCCACACUAUAAAAAAUGACAUAAAUGAUACUUGUGAACAAAUUGUACUCACCAUCUCUUUCUUGAUCCUCUUCAAAUCUUUAUCUGUCAAAGGCUCCAUAUCAAAAUCAUAAUAAAACCCAUUUUCUAUCCAUGGACCAAUUGUCACUUUUGCAUCCGGGAAGAGCUUCUGAACAGCCAUAGCCAUUACAUGUGCACACUGUAUUCAUGUAUAAACAUAAAACAAGUGAAUUUUGUGAAGUUGGUAGUACAGCCAAAAAAACUGUGACAGAACCGACCAUAUAUGCACCAAUAUUCAAUUUCAAAAAUAAAAUAUGUAGCACUAAAACUUACUAAGCAAAGUUGAUGAUGGAUUUUUACAUUUUCUCUGGUUCAAGUAUCCAAAAAAAUUAAGACUUCAAGAUAAAAUUUGUUUGGAUUGCAAAAAAAACAAAACCACGGAAGUUCCUUGUCACUGAGUUGGGCCAACUCCUAAAGUUGUAGUUGACCGCAUGGCAUUGGAGCUUUACAGUGUCUAAUUGCUUUACAAGCCAAUAGAUUUGGAGUCGAAUUUAAUUUCCUAAAACCUCAAAAUCCACAAAAAGAACCAAGCAAAUCCCUAGUGAAAGGAAAGAUUGUCAAAUUCCAGAAAAUUGAAAUUCCAGAACUUAUCUUAAGCAACAUUAUCAAAUAAUUUCCACACAAUGAGCUAAAUCAACACCCUCUCCUGCAAAAUGCCACCCAAAAGCUAACAAAGCAGCCACUAUCCACCAUUUAAUUAAAUUUCCACCUUCACUUCUCCUCAACACCAAACAAAGCUCUAACUUUUCAGGUUUUUUCUUUUCUUCUCCGUCAUGCUCUCAACAACCAAACAGAAUCCCUAGACAAAAAAACAAACAAAUAAAUAAGUAAAUAAAAGAUUACCGUAUGGCGAAUCCUCAGGAGACGCUCAGACGAUUCAUUGGUGGGAAGAACAAUUUUUUCAGGCGGAGCCUCGCCCAAGCCCUUGUCAUCAGCCAAAACCGCAGAAUCAGUGGAAUCAGUGGAAUCAGUGGCCACGGCCGAAGAUGUAGUGGACAGUCCAUGGGCCUUGUGAUAAAGCGGCAGCACCCUGAUUCGGCUCCGACUGAAUCCUCCGGAAAUCGAAACGAUACGCUUUAGCGGACAUCGAUAAUGAUGAAGAAGUUGGUUCGAAGUGAGUUUGAGAGAGGAGGCGAAGAGAGAAUGAGAAGCGGCCAUUCUGUGAAGAACUAGCAACAUGGCUGAGGCUAGGGCUCAUUCAAAAGGAAACGGUGGGUUUUGUGUGGUAGAGAUUUUGUGAACGAGUUGGAUGUGACUUGUGCCCCUCUGUUUGGUUACUGAGAAACAACGAGAAAUUCGAAAGUAUCAACAUUAGCCUCGUCGAACGCACCGUUUUGAUAGUAAAUCUACCAAAACGCACCGUUUUGCUCCCGUCUUAAAUUCAUUUACCCUUAUCUUUUAAUAAAUGGGUGCCUAAAAUUAUUGUUCUAUUGUAAAAAGAAGAAAGCAAGAAAGAAAGAAUAAAAUGCAUGAGAGUCUAUAUAAUUUCAUUAGGAAUCCUACCAUUUUAUAGGAAGUUACACAAGAUGAUCCACAAGUUACUAUAGUGGUUCAAAAUCUCAUAUUUUAUAACACUCUCCCUUAGAUAUCAUAAGAAUAUGUUUCAUUAAAACCUUAUUAGGAAAUAUCCUAUAGAAAAAACCUUAGUGAAGGAAAAAUAGUACAAUAUUCUUUUGGAUUACUAUAACUAUCUCGUUAAAAACAUUACCAGUAAAACCCAAUAGGACAAAACCUAGACAAAAGAAAAAAGAGUAUAGUGGUAGUGAUAUUCUUUAUCAAAUAGCUCCCCCUAUGUUGACAUGAUUAUAUUUUCUCUAGUAGCACAGCAUAGAGAUCUUUGAGUCGACGUAUUCCAAUGAGCUUCUUAAGUAUUGCAAUUGAUAAUGUCUUUGUGAGUAGAUCUACUAAAUUGUCACUUGAUCUUAUCCGUUGAAUAGCAAUUUCAUCACUUUUUUGGAGUUAAUGAAAGUAAAAAACUUGGGCAAUAUAUGCUUAAUUCUAUCACCCUUAAUGUAUCAUUAUUUAAUCUGUACAACACAUGCAACAUUAUUAACUUGGUAGCAUUACCUCUUAUGGAGGGUAGUCUGCAUGUUUCCAUUAUUUACUUGAUUGAUUUCCAUGAUAUUGUCAUACCACCAUAUAUAAAUACAUACCUCAUUUGAGAUCGAGCUUUGUGGGAGUCUAAAAGAUAGUCAACAUCUACAUAUUCAAACAAUUAAGAUUCUGAUCCUUUGGAAUAACAUAGACUCAUGUUAUUUUAGUACAUGAUUGAUUUUAUUCUAAUGUCUUUGAGUUGGUGUAGAACUAUAUCUCACAAGUAAAUUAACAAGGAAUACAAUAUAUGGUCGUGUAUAAUUUACAAGAUUCAUCGGUGUACCAAUAAUACUGUAAUAUGGUACUUAUGGGCCAAGUAAUUAUUCAUUAUCUUCUUAAGGACAAAAAAUGUCAUUUUUCACUUUAAGUGAAGGAACUAUCAUCAGAGAAUUUAAUGGAUGUGAUUUAUCCAUAUAAAAACACUUCAAAACUUUCUUAAUGUAUGUUGAUUGAUGUAUUAAAACUCCAUCUGGAAAAUGCUUGAUUUGCAGGCUGAGACAAAAAAAAAAUUCUCAAAUUCCCGUUUCAAGUAAUUUAUUGUUCUUGUGAGCUCUUCAGGAGUUCCAACAAGAUUUAAGUCAUCAACAUACACUACAAUAAUUGCAAAUCUGGUUUCUAAUUUCUUAAUGAAAAUGCAUAGGCAUAUAGGAUUAUUCAUAUACUCUUCUUUUAGCAAGUAUUUGCUAAGGCGAUUGUACCACAUGCGUCUAGAUUGCUUUAAUUCAUACAAGAAUCAUUGUAACUUGAUUGAGUACAUGCUACGAGGCUUUUGUACAAUUUGCUUCAAGCAAUUUAAAUCCUUCAAGGAUUUUCAUGUAUAUAUCAUUAUCCAUGAAUCCGUAUAAAUAUGUGGUAAUAACAUCUAUGAGACGCAUAUCUAGUCCUUCUGGGACUGUCAAACUAAUUAAGAAACAAAAUGCGAUUUCGUCCAUGACGGGAAAAUAUGUUUCCUCAUAGUCAAUACCAGGUCUUUGCAAGAAACCUUGUGCUACUAAUCGCGUAUUAUAUCUUAUGAUCUCAUUAUUCUCAUUGCAUACCCAUUUAUACCCAACGGGCUUUACAUCUUCAGGUGUUUAGACUACAAGUGCAAAAAUUUCUCGUUUUAUUAAUGAGUUUAACUCCGCCUACAUAACUUCUUUCCAUUUUGGUCAAUCAUUUCUAUGUCGGCAUUCUUCCACAUUUCGUGGUUCAGGAUCUUCAUCAUUUCUUAUGAUACCGAAAGCCACUUGGAAUGCGAAAAUAUUGUUAAUAAUAAUAUUAUUUUAAUCCUAUUUUUCUGUCGUGUAUACAUAACUUACCGAGACCUCACAAUCUUUAGGUACCUAUGCCUUUUCUAGGGUUUCUUGGUCAACAUGUGCCUUUUCAAUGGCUUUUUGUUCAAUAUGUGCCUCUUUUAGGGCUAUAGAUUUAUCAAUUUUAAACCGAUCAGUCAUUUUGAUGGUCUUUUUUAGAGUGCCAAGUUUUUCUUGGGUUCUCCUCUUCCGGGGAGUUACUGUUGGAAAAAGGGGAUGAAUGAAAUUAAGUAAAUCCAUUGAAUUAAGUAAAUUCAUUCAAUUUUCCAGAAUUCUAAGAGUCUCAAGAAGCCAAAUUCAUUUUGGCUUUCUGAACCUGUCUGUGUUCUUCCCUCCUUGAAGUCUAUAAAUAGUGGUAGACUUUCUUUCAAAAAAGUACAGAAAAAUUUUGGAGUAUUGUCAGAGUGUUUAAGAGUUCCUUCCUUCUGUGUCCGUGAUAGAGUUGAACAAUUUCCAGUUCGCCGGAGUGGCUGCAGAGUGCUGUUGCUGCCAUUCGAAGAUCGUUUUAUCCUGGUAGACAGACGCCUUGCGAUUCUCAAAGCACCUGUGGAGAAGGCGAAUCUGUUUUAAGGAGAUUGUGUUUUCCACAAGACUCGGUCUAAUCUUCUUCCUUAAGUCUCUGUUUUUUUUUUUCCAGUUUUCUUUUAUUUUCUUAUGAACUAACCAGUGUGUGCAGUGUGGUUGUCUAACAGUUACAUCCUUUGAGCCAACAGGUCUACCACGCUUCAAGCGUAUCUUAGAUUAAUUUAUUAACUGUCCUACAAGGACAUCAAUCCAUGUUGGAGUAUUCUAGGUCAAUAAAAAUAAUUUUGUCACUUUCUUUGCAUCAAUGAAGGCAUUUGGUAAUUGAUUUGCAAGUUCUUGCAAAUAAAUAAUAUUUUAAACUUCCAAUUCACAUUAAUUGGUACGAGGAUCAAGAUAAGUCAAAGUCAAUGCAUUUCAAAAUGUCGUUCUUCUGGAACUGGCUCUUCUCUCCUUGGCAGUGAGAAAUUUGUCUCAUUAAAAUGAUAAUCCGCACAAUAUGUCAUUCUAUCUUUUAAGUGUAUAGGUAAACUAAUUACUAAAUAAAAACUUUUGGUUUUAUAAUGUACAUUCAUAUGACCUUUUACCCCAGUGGACCAAGUUGGUCUUACAAGAUUCUUCUAAAUCUUGCAUCGUAUAAAGUGUCAUUCACAUGGAAUCAAAUACUACUAGUGACAUUGUAUAAGCUCUUCUAGAGCAUUUAAUCAGGUUUCUAUCACCUGAUAUAGUAUUAACAUUAUCUAUCAUCAAUGUUGUGCAAUAAAAGAGACAAAAGUUUCAUCAAAGUAACAAGUCAUAAAACAUUGUCAUAAAGACUUCAUCUUUAUAGAGUUGAAAAAAUAUUAUCAUAGAAAAAGAGUUAAAAUCAAUGAAAAAAUAUUUGUUAUCAAUGAUAAAAUAUUUGUUGUCAAUGAUGACUUAAUAAGUCGUGUAAAAGCAAUGAAAGCAUAUAUAACACAAUAAAACAAAUAUGAAAAGAUAAUUUAAAGUUAUAUAUUUCUUAAAUAAUUUCACACAUUUGAUUUUGUAAGUGUGGAGCAAUUUAUACAUGAACUAACGAGAAAAUAUUUCAAUAAUCAAACUAAUUGUAGUGAUAGAUCAAUAAUUUUAUUCAAAAUAUUAUUAUGAUCUAAAUCAAUGUGCAAAAAUUAAUUCAUAAAUCAAAAUUUCAAGAGAACAAAUAAUGAUUUAAAGUAUCUUGUUGUCUCAAAACUUUAAUUGAAAUACUACAAAUCCAUUUGAACAUAUAUGUAAAGAUAUAACAUAAUAUAUUGAAAACAAUAGUUGAACCUAUUGUAAUUUCAAAAUUAUUUUUAGAUAAUGAAAUUAUUGCAUUAAUAAAAAUACCACAUGUGGCCACAUGCAAUAAUAUAUAUUAUUUUAUAUAACUCAAAAAAAUUUGAAUCAUAAAAACAUGUCUUAAAGAAAAUUGACAUGCAAAAUCAAUUUAUUAAUCAUAUGACCAAGUCAUAUAUUUCACUUGUAUCUAAAAAAUCUCAAUUUUCUAAAUCAAAAGAUUAUUGUGUAUUAAACAACUAGAAUAAAAAAAUAUUCCAAACGAUCACCUCUAAUACAAAAAUAUCAUACUUUCAUGCAAUUCAAAAUUCCACAUUUAUAUGUAAAAAAAAAAAUUCUACUAAUAAUAGUACAACAUAUAAUAAUACGAGUUCAUAAAAACUAUCAAAUACUUACCUAUUUGUAUGACUUGAUAUACAUAAUAUUAAUCUUUUGAUAAUAUGUAAAUAUUAUCUAUAUACUUAUUAUCAUAACUUCAAGUUAUAAUAUAUUUCAUUAUAACUUUUGGUUAUAUAAAUUUCAUAAAGUUGUACAAAAUUGUUAGUUAACAAUUUUAUUCUCUAUAGCUUCUAGCUAUAAGAAAGUACAUAUUAACAACUUUGGCAUAACAUUUCAUUAGCACAAAGAAUAUUAAUUUUCUUAUUUUCAUAAUUUCGGGUUAUGAAUAAUAAUAUUUAUAUAACUUCUGGUUAUAUAACAAAAUUAAAAAAAAAAUAUGUAUCUUCUAGGUACAUAGUUGUUUAUUGACAAUUUUGUUUUGUAUAACUUCUGGUUAUACAAGAGAAUUAGAAAUUGUAUGCAUAACUCCUAUUGUGAAAAAUAAGUGAGUACAAAAUAAAAAUUAAAAGUCAAUAUUUUUUCAUAACUUUGACUUAUGAUUAUUUUGUCAACACAAAAAAAUAUUCAAAUUUGUACAUAGCUUCAGGUUAUGAAUUAUUUAUGUAUAACUUCUAGUUGCACAAUAUAAUUAAAAAAAAUUAAAGAAAUUAAAAAUUAAUAUUUUUCAUAGUUUCAUAUCGUGAUUAUUUUGUCAGAAUAAGAAAAUAUUUAAAUUUGUAUAUAACUUCAAACUAUGAACUGUUUUUUAUAUAAAUUUGUGCACAGCUUUAAGCUAUGAACUAUUCAUUGAGUAGAUUUGUGCAUAACUUCAAGUUAUAAACUUUUAUUAAAUAAAUUUACACAUAGUUCAGACUAUGAACAUUUAUUUAUUUAUUUUAUACUUUCUAGCUAUAUAAUAUUGUUUGGUAUAACUUACGGUUAUACCGUAUAAUUAAAAAUAAAUAAUUAGGGAUCAUAUACAUAACUUCUUGUCAUAUAUUUGUAAUUUUGUAAUUUUUCUCAUUAACUUCUGGUUAUAGGAAUUGUACAUAUUUUUCAUAACUUCUAGUUAUGAAUUUACCAUAUAAUUUAUAAUUUAUCAGGUUAUAGGGACUGUACAUAUUUAUACAUUCAAAUAAGAUAAAUGAAAAUAGAGUGUCAAAUGGUAAUAAAGUAGAAAAUCAUGAUAUAAGUUUAUUACAUACCUUUUUGUAAGAAAGAAGAUAGAAAAGUUUUUAUAUUUCUUUAAAGAUAAGAACGUCUUUCUAUUUCUCUUAAUAAAGAAAAAUCUUUUUAUUUUUUUUGUAAAGACCAUUCAUUCUGAUAACGUGUUGUAAAACAAAGUGAAAGAAAGAAGAAGAAAGCAAGAAAGAGAAAAAAGAAUGCACGGGGAAACUCUAUAUAAUUUCAUUAGAGGUCCUACAAUUUCAUAAAGAGUUGCACAAGAUAUUUAUGGAUGAUCAUCCAUAAGUUACCAUAGUGAUACAAAAUUAAUGUUUUAUAACAUGUUCAUCAUUUUUCCAAACUCAUAUAUAAAUUAAGUUAAUUAAUUUAAAUACCAAAUUAUCCAUCAAAUCUACCAUUUUUAUCAUUAAAAGUAUAUGAUAAAAUUUAUAUUGUCACGAUGGUACAAAAUAAUAGAACUAGGAUUACUCUCUUACAUGAUCUAUUGUAUUUUUUUUAUAGAUAUAAAAUGGGUAUAAUAGUGAAACCCAUAUAUUAAUUAACUCAACUUUUUUUUAACUAAAAUUGAAUCGAUUAGAUUAAUAUAGUUUUUUCAAUUUUGAAAUAAUAAUUAAAAAAAAAAGAGGAAAAAAACGCGCGCACAUCACCCAAACCAUAUGCCACAUCAUGCGAUGACGUGGAGUAAAGGAGGCGUGUGGAGGGGCAUGCACGAGAACGCAGCCACCAUUUUCUAAAUUUGUAACGAACCAGCUCUAAAAUGCGAAAAUAACCGUUUGGAAGGCCAGAAACAACCGUCGGAGCAUCCCAAUUUCUCUUCAUUCUAUAAACCCUAAUAAUUGUCCAUCCAUUCCACGAAUUCUUCCCCCGCCAAACGACGCUGUUCCACCAUGAAAGGGCUUUUCAAGUCGAAGCCGCGCACGCCAGCCGAGCUCGUCCGCUACAUGCGUGAGCUUCUAAUCUUUAUUGAUCGCGGCGCCCAAACCCGGGAACAGAAGCGGGAAAAACAGCGGGAAGAAAAGGUUGAAUCUUGUGACGUUUUAUUCAAUUAUUUACAAAUUCUUCUUGAAGCCAGAUUGUUGGCAUUGGCCUAAAUUGUGUGGAAAAAAAUUCACUUUGUGCUUGUUUGUAUUGAAAAUUCUAGAUGAUAUAUUAUUUAAUUUAUUAAAUUCCAUCGGAAAACUGAAGCAUUUUGCUUUUUUUGUUUUGUUUGUUUAAUUUGAGGUUCCACGUUAAUUAGAGCAAUGUUGAAUCACACAAGUGUUUAAUGAAAUGCUGAGUUUUCAUAAAUUUAUAUUAGGUCUGCUCGCAGAAGCAAUUUGUGUAGCAAUUUUGUUGUUCACACAUGAAGUUUAGUCUUUUCUGGAAUGAUCUAAGGGGGGAAAUUUUCAGUGGAAACAAACAGUUGGGUGGCUGGCAGACUUUGGGCUAUUUUGUUAUAUAUUGGUUGAACAAAAUUGAGCAUGGGCAAUGUGGUAUUCUGAAACUGAUUGUCUUGUUCUUGAAAAAAAAAUGCAUUACUCUUCAAAAUUCUGAGCCUAGCCUUAUUGUAUCUAAAGUAACUAUGUUGCUAGGUUAGAGUUUGUGAAGUACUUUUAUUGCUUUAGAAACUUAAAAUGAGUAUAAUUUUUCCCAAAGAAGCAAAGUUUAUAGUGAGUCAUGCCUCCUCGUAGGUUCAUUAAAUUGCAGUCCCUCUUUCUACCUUUCUCUUGCCAAUGAUGUACACAAAUUCUUGUGUGCAUUCGUUUUUGUCUCAUUAAUAUGUCAAAUUGGUACGUGGUUGAUCUUCUUAUUUUCUUUUAUAAUAUGAUGGGUCGGCCUCAGUAUAUUGGUUAUGCCACACAUUUUGUCAUUAAAGAAAUUAUCUCUGUGCACCAUGUUUCUAAGGAUGAAAUGUUUAUGCUGGCUUCUUGUAGUUGGUUUUGCAUUUUUUGCUUUAACACUGCACAUUUUUAUUAUGUGUGACAUGAUUCAACUUAACUCUAAGUUUGUCACUGUGGACUGAAAUUUUAUGUCUCUUCCAUCAGAAAGUUCAGGAACUUAGUUGCAGAUUCAUGUUGUGAUUGGAAAUCCCCUAGUGCAAUAUACUGUUGAUAGUUGGGCUUUUAGCUUCUCAUCAAGUGCAUUUCUUCAUCAGUUUGCCCAAAUACAUACCAUUUUGUGUUGACAUCUUAACUUCUUUGCAGGUGUCUGAACUCAAUAAAUGCAUCCUGGAGAUAAGGACAAUUCUUUAUGGCAUUGAUGGAGCAGAGCCAGUUUUGGAAGCUUGUACACAAUUGACCCUGGAGUUCUUGAAAGAGGAUACAAUCCGCCUUCUGAUUGUUUGUCUUCCAAAACUGGACUUAGGGGUAAGAAUUAUCCUAUUAUUUGGUCAAGCUGCGAUUUAUUAAUAAAGAACACCAGGGUUAGGCACUAUCCUUAUUCUUUUUUCUUUUUUCUUUUUUAUAGUUUCUAUUUUCAACUCAUCUAUUCUAAAUUUUAGGACAAUUCCCUAAUAUUAUGUCAGUUUGUACACUUACCUUAAGGAUUGGGAAUUGAUUUAAGUGUGGAGGUUGAAAUGGUAUUCAUUAUUAUACCGUAUCUCAUUCUUUUGGUGUUUCAUGAAAAAAUGGGGUUCUUCCUUUUCAGGCACGUCAAAAUGCCACUCGUGUGAUUACAAAUUUGAGCAGGCAACGGGUUAAUUCACGGUUGAUUGCUGCUGAGUACUUGGAAAAUAACAUAGAUGUAAUAAAUAUACUGAUACCUGGGUAAGCUAUUUAUUUUGGGUAAUUAUUUUGCCAUAUAUUUGCUACAAUGCUCUCAAAGAAAAAUCCAUAACUCUUUGCUGUAUUUAUUUUUUUGGUCAGAAGUUAAAAGGUUUUACUUGGAGUUCAUUUUUUUCUUAAAUGUGUUUUCUGCCUUUUAUCAGUGAUGGAUGAAUAUCAUUCUAUUAAUCUUUCUAUUAGUAAUUCAUCUUUUAAGAUGGGUUAUAUUGGUGUUCAAUGAAUAAUAUGCUCUUUAUUUGGUUGGAUAUAAUGUUUCAAUGUCCAACUAAUAGGUGGUUUGUUUAGUUAUGAAGACAGUGAGAUUGCUUUAUCUUACGGUGCAAUUUUGAGGGAGUACAUACGUUAUCAGAGUGUUGCAAGGUAAGCAUAUUAAGAAGGUAAAAUUGAAUCUUGUAGAUGUCCUUUGAUAAGUAGCUACAGUUCAGAUUGUUUUCUGUCUCUCUUGAAUGAUGUUAUGAACCUUACAUUCAAUCUCAUAGUUCACCAAGCAGUUACUGCCUGUAUUUUUUAGUAGUCUUAUAUUUAUUCAUGCAUGUUUGUGACCUUUUCAUGAGUUAGUGAAAUGGAAAUCAGCACCUAGAGCAUAUAGGUACUAGUGAAGAAGUUCUUUCUUUUAAGCUGGCUCUGAAUUGUCUAUUCCACCUCUCUCUGUUGGUAAACUAUACUCAGUUACUAAUUAGUUCAAAUUGUGUCCACAUAUUUAAUUUCUGGAUCACUUGCAGGUAUGUGUUGGAAUCAGCACAGAUGAAGAAGUUUUUUGAUUAUGUACAAAACCCAACUUUUGAAAUUGCAUCAGAUGCCGCAGCAACUUUUAAGGUUAAGUUAGCCUGAGAGCAUUCUAUUUUCUUCUUUAAAUGCUUGGCAUAGCUUUUGUUUAGUGGUUUUUAGAAAGUCACUUCCUCCUUUUGGUGUCUGUUAAUUUUCAUUCAUUAUAUUUUACUUUUGUGCCUGAAAUUGUAAACCAACUGAACCCUGACACUGUCCCAAUUUCUGCAGGAGCUUUUGACCAGGCAUAAAUCUACUGUUGCUGAAUUUCUUUCCAAAAACUUUGACUGGGUGAGUAUCAUACUUUGAUUAUCUAAAUGGAAUAUCUAAAUGUUUUGCCUUUCUCUACAUUGGAAAGCAUCUGAUCUCACAUGGAACUUUGAUAAAUAGCUUGGUUCUUAUGUAUGGCUGCUUGUACCAACAGUAUGUGAGGCACUAUAUAACAGAUAGUUUUCUCUUUCGGCUAUGUUACCCUGGCACUUGCAUCUCCUGCAUAUUAUUAUUUGGAUUGAUCCGAUUUCAUAGAGGUUAAAUCUCCCAUUGUGAACUUCUUGUCAGGAAAUAAAUAUUCGCUGUUUAAACUACCAAAGAGCAUGAACUAAAAAAAAAGAAAAAACCUCAGAGGAUGGUUUCUUUGUUUGAGAAAGGUAAUGACAGCUCAUAACAUAAAGGGACUUGGGCAAAGUCUAUUAUCACAAUUGUAACAACUGUCACAGAGUCCAGUACUUUCUAUCUUUUGAAAUGCACUGUUAUUAGAAUGCAAUUUUUUGUACUUUAAAAAUAAUCUAGCAAAGGAAAUUUUUGUUUAAAAAUUACUUUCUUAUCUUUGGAAAGAAGCGCUUAAUAGGAAGUUACAAUUUAGUUAUAUCAGAGAAUAAGAUCCAUUUUCCUCAAAUUUGAAGAGCUGCAUUUACUUGCUCUUCUUUAUUGGCUGGUUUUUCUAUUUUAUGCUCAUGAUAAUAAUGGUUUCAUUGGGGCACUGAUGCCAUUUAUUGGAAUGUAUGCCUAUCAUGAAUAUAUGAAGAAUUGAUAAUUGAAAUCAUUGCAGGCCACAUUCUUCUUUGCCUGCAUAGUGAGACAACUUUAGAAUCGAGCUACUUUUUCUCUUCUUUUAUAUAUAUUACUUACAAUUAAUCAUUGUUGAAACUUCUCUAACUGUUUCCUGGUUCCAGUUUUUUCGAGAGUACAACUCACAGUUGCUGCAGUCUCCCAAUUAUAUUACCAGGCGACAUGCCGUCAAGGUAUAUAACUUCUUUACGUUCUAUAUGUAGGAACUAUUGGUCAGUGUUGUCAUUGCCAUGACAAUGUAUCCAAAUUUUUCUAUGUGAAUUCUCCACUUGCUUAGUAAGAGUGUGUUUGGCAUUGUUUCUAUUUGAAUUGCUUUCAGUGGAUGAGCUUUCUCUAGAAAAGUUUUUUAGAAGAAUCACCUUCCAAGUGCUUCUCAAGGAAGCACUACAAGUGAUUUUCCAACUUCCUGAAAGUGUUUUCUAAUUUUUCCAAACCUUAUUUUUCUUCAAAAGCAUUUUUUAUGCUAAAAGUGCUUUCUAAAAGCACUAUAAAACUGACUUUAAAUGUGUUUAGGGUAAUGGCAGAUUCAAAUGUUUUAUAAAAGAACUAAUGCACAAUUAUUUUCUGAUGGUUUAACAUGUUUCAGCUGUUGGGAGAUAUGUUACUAGAUCGUUCAAAUUCUGCUGUGAUGAUCCGCUAUGUGAGCUCACUGGAUAACAUGAGGAUCCUGAUGAAUCUUCUAAGAGUCUCUCUCUCUCUCUCUCUCUCUCCACACAUAUACUUGCAAUAUGACUGCAAAUAUUUCGCUAAAGUUUCCCUUUUUUCCUUCACUCUGUCUCUUUCUCCACACACUCUCCAUCUCUCUCCACACAUACACUUGCAAUACGACUAUAUAUUUCACUCAAGUUUCCUUCUUUCUCUUCCCUCUCUCCCUUUCUGCACACACACACACACAUCCUUUUAUAUUGAUUGCAUAGAUUCCACUCAAAUUCCCUUCUUCUGAACACUUUUUUCAGGAGUCAAACAAGGCAAUCCAGUUGGAAUCAUUUCAUGUGUUCAAGGUGUCAUAUGAAAUUUGACUCAGUUUUAGAGUGCCUUUUUUUAUUUUAAUCACAUUCUAAAGUUUCCUUCUCUCAUUUUUAUUACUGAUAGCUAUUUGUUGCAAAUCAAAAUAAGCCUCCUGAAAUCGUCAGCAUACUUGUCACAAAUAGAAGCAAACUCCUACGAUUCUUUGGCGACUUCAACAUUGAUAAAGGUAGAAAACAUUUUCUUAUUCAAAACCCAUAAUGCUCAUUAUUUUAUUCUCUGUACGGCAGUACAAAUUGAAUUCUUCUCCUCUGCAGAGGAUGACCAAUUUGAAGCAGACAAAGCUCAAGUCAUCAGAGAGAUCACUAAUCUGAAUCCACGGGCUGAUGAUGGUGUGCAGUAGACAAAAGCAGAUCGUGUCUCUCUAUUUAGUCAUUGUACAUCCAGAGAAUGCAACUGGAUACUCGCUCUUUAUAUCUAGUUUAUUUUCUUUGAAAGCGUAAAAUGAUAGACUGAUCCCACUGUAAAUUGAAAAGAAAUUGUUUUACAUUAUCUUGUUUACCUUAAUCAAACCAUGAAACCUGUGUCUUAAUGUUUCUAAUUGCUUCACUACAUCACCUUAUCCCUUCUUUAACAACGAGAAUCCUGCAGAUGGAUGCUUCAAGUGCUGCAUCCGGCUGCUGCUAACUCUGUGCUGAGAUUAAGUUGGCUUUUUGGGCUCUAUAACAUACAAAGCUCCCAAUGUUUUGAAUCCUGAUCCUUAUUCAAUACUGAAUGUGGCUCAAUAAAAUUUGAUUAUGAAACUGAUUAAGUUUCAUGAUUUGAUUUGUGAUAUUUGAUUCCAUUUUGGAUUUAGGUAGCAUUUCUGGUGUUUAAACAUAGUAGUAUGAAUCACAUUUUCUGCAGUGCAGGUUCAAAACUGCACGAAACACUCGAGGAUUCCCCCAGGUUGUGAAAAAAUUUCAGUGGAUUCAUGUCAAGACAAGGGUAACGGGUAGAAUUUCUAUAUUUCUCCAUUCUUCUGCAUUAAUGAUUUGAGUUUUCAGCUUGGGAAUCCAAUUCAUUUGCUCUGUCACUCUUUUUUGCCUGAGAUUGUGCUCAUAGUAAAUGAUCUUUUUCUUCUGGGAAAUUAUCACAGGAGACAAGUUCGCACAAAACUUCCGUAAUCCAAUGAAUUGAAAGACCAAAAAACUGGAAAAAAAAAAAAAGAACAUGGAGUGUAUUUAUAUAUACGAGAAAAAUUACACUAUAUCCAUGUCUAAACAGCACACUGAAACACAGAGCAAAACCUACUGGAAUAAAGAAUAGCCUAACACAACAAAGUGAUGAGCUCCCUCGACAUAAGGGGCUACCAAUCAAGAAACCCAGUCCCUCACCCAUGUGAAAAACGCAGCCUGAUACAUUCUAAUCUAUCUUCUACACCACUGUCCUGGCACCAUGUCCAUUAACCCCAUUCACUCCAUUGCCAUUUUGUGGAUACUUCUCGGAGCUCUCCCUUUUCCUCUUGAUGACUAUGUACCAUGUAGCAGCUUCCAGCAUAAUUGCAAAGAAUCCCAAGAAUAUGAGAAUGCCGAUGUAUGCUCUCUUCCAUUUCUCCUCAGGAUCCAAGAUGUCAAAGCCCUCAAAGAUGUUGAAGAUGCUCAGGAUAAUGAUGCAAUAUCCGAUGGCAUGGUGGUAGAUGUUCCAGUAGAGUCUGUACUUGUGAUCCUUGUUUGGCCUCAGGAGCAGAGCAAAUAACUGUAUGUGAAACACAAGUUCAUUUAGAAGGCUGCAUACAAGACAAGUACAGAGAAUGUGCUAAAACCCGAAGAAUUCACCAUAUUGAUUCGGUACCUGAAGGGUUCCAAGGCAGAAAAGGGUGAUGCCAACGUUCCUAUGGGUGUCAUACUGAACAGUAGAAGAAUCACUGCCAAGUUUUAUACCGGUUGCCCAUCCAGCCACACCAACUAUGUAUCCUGAGGACUGGCAAGCAACAUGUAGGUAGAACCAUGCCGGGUCUGCAGCCUGGAAAACCUUCAUGUAUCUUGCAAUCAUGGCACCCAGAGGCAUCAAGGUGCCCCAACUGACAACGUUCAACACACCAUGAAUCUGAAAGAUUAACCCCAUCACAGUUAAAAUCAAAUCCCAUAGAUAUGAAGAUCAAAUAUUGAUAAUGGAAAUGGUUAUUAGGUUUCUGUUUUUUCCUUCAAUCACCUAAGGUUAACUCAGAAAAAAGAUUGAAUCACUUACAUUUCUCCUCCUCACUCUUGAAGAUGUGGCUGACCCUCCUGUGCUAGUUUGUCCUGAAAGAAGAUCCAAAGUGCCCAUAGACUGAACAUGUUCGCCAGUGGUGGAAUGUGUACCAGGAGUGCCUCCACUCAAAGGACCUUCUUGCCAGACCUGGUUCACGGUUGUAAGGCUGGAGGAGAGCUCCAAAGUGGCAUAUAUGAUCAUCUCACCGUUGCUGUUCUCUGCUUCGAUCUUUGGUACUGAAAAGCUCAAAGAACCAGGCGCCAACGUAGUGCUAUAACUAGACACCGGAGAGGUGUAUGCAUAGGGGGCACUGGAGUUCACAUAUGCCACAAGAGACUGUGCCCCCACCAUACCUGUACUAUUCAGGUUGAUGGCCCAAGCAAUCCAAUUUGUCGACGAAAAGUCAGGCUGCCUGUAUGCAAUUUCCAAAGUUCCAUUUGUGUGGCGAGUCCAGUGGAUGAAAGAACCCAAUUCGGAGAGGUCAGUGCAAGAGGUAUAGAGGUUAUUGUUGGAGAAGGUGUAGCUCCCACAUGUCUGAGCAGAAGAUGAUACCAACAUAGAAACCAAAGCACAUGAAACCAACAAAAUUCUCAAAGACCCAUCCAUGGUGGCUGAAUUCAAGGAUACCCAGAGGCCAAAACCUCAACAAAAACAACCUUUCAGAAUCUGGGUGUUCUCAGAUGGCACUGAAACAGGUCCCUGAGGUGUUUUCUCAAUUUGGGUACUUGAAGAACAAGCUCAAUGUGAUGAAUGAAGAAGAGGGGUUCCCUCAAAGAAUAUAUAUAUAGAAGGAUUGUUGGAGAAGAGUUGGGGUGGUUGACUGGUUCUCUCCAUUGAAUGCUGUGUCUAUAUAUUGACACGGCCUCCGUAAGGGAGAGAGGGCAGUAAUGGAAGCAGGCGAGAAGGUGUAGGCACCUGUGAAAUUUCAAAGUUUGAAACUCUGUAGUAUGCGGUGGGGCCACGCACCUUCAACUACUCCUCGUGUUCACAUCUACUUUGUCCAACUUUCCUAAAACUAGUUCAUAUUCUGACUUUUUUCUCAUGUUUCCGCCACCAAAUCUAUUGAAAAAUGACACGAGAAAAAUGGAGAUGCUCAUUCCAC
This 22873-nucleotide long non-coding RNA is filed under the name Vitis vinifera (wine grape). RNAcentral's name for it is "long non-coding RNA (VVIN_LNC003763)". Lineage: Eukaryota; Viridiplantae; Streptophyta; Magnoliopsida; Vitales; Vitaceae. The record is from RNAcentral.